UGAUACAACAUGUGAUGGCACUGCUGAC
This 28-nucleotide non-coding RNA is filed under the name Rattus norvegicus (Norway rat). Lineage: Eukaryota; Metazoa; Chordata; Mammalia; Rodentia; Muridae. The record is from RNAcentral.